Molecule: ribosomal RNA, 407 nt
Filed under: uncultured bacterium
Lineage: Bacteria
Description: partial 16S ribosomal RNA
Rfam family: Bacterial small subunit ribosomal RNA
Source: RNAcentral
AUUGAACGCUGGCGGCAUGCCUAACACAUGCAAGUCGAGCGGAGCGGCGGACGGGUGAGUAAUGCCUAGGUAUCUGCCUGGCAGUGGGGGAUAACGUCCGGAAACGGGCGCUAAUACCGCACAUUAUCACAUGACCCUAGGUCGGAUUAGCUGGUUGGGGGGGUAAAGGCCUACCAAGGCGACGAUCGGUAACUGGUCUGAGUGGAUGAUCAGUCACACUGGAACGGAGACACGGUCCAGACUCCUACGGGAGGCAGCAGUGGGGAAUAUUGGACAAUGGGCGAAAGCCUGUACCAGCCAUGCCGCGUGUGUGAAGAAGGUCUUCGGAUUGUAAAGCACUUUAAGUUGGGAGGCGUUACCCGCAGAAGAAGCACCGGCUAACUCCGUGCCAGCAGCCGCGGUAAUUC